GUGUCUCAGGCCAGAUUUGGACCUCAGGAAGGGGAGUUUUCCUGACUCCAAGCCCUGCACUGUGCACUAUGGUGCCCUCUAGCACCCCAUAAGUUCAUCAUCUGUCAGACCUGAUGUGACUCCUUUACGUCCCCUACUACAGUGGUCACCUAUUAACAUCUAGGGUUACAGACAAACUCUUUAAGGCUUUAAAACCCUUCACCACCUCAUUGGCCAUUACUGACCCUCCAGCACGUGGCAUGAUGAGAAGAAGAUACACUUCUAUGAUAAAAUGAAGGAUUGAGCAUUCUGAUUCCAGGGUAAGAAGCCAUUAUUCCUCCCGCCUUUCACUGGAAAGAUGCAGUCAGUCAGUCAACAUCCACAAGAACCCUGCUACAGUCUUUGGGAUGGCUCAAGUGACCAGAGGGCUCUGGAAAGUCAUCUCUGUGCCACAAACUGGGCCAGGUUUCACUCAAUUCAAAGGUUCUGAAUCUAGACCCAGUGAAGGACUUAACAGUGUGUGGAGGUGGCCUGUGGACCAGCCAAACAAAGUGCCAAGAUCGUACCACAAGAUAAGCUGCCCUCCCUCUGUAAGCAAGUAAGGGCCCAAAGGCCAUCAAUUGAGUUACGGUGUGACUGUAAGAUAAUCGGUAGAAGAAAGAUUAUGGAAUAGUACACGAAAAUUCCUCACUAUUCUUACAACAACAACAAUUAUUUAAAUAAUAAGGUGAGGAAGUUCCUUUUGAAUACCUGGGGAAUUGUAACUAUAAAUUAAAGUUAAGUGAUGCUUAUUAAGGCUUUCAGGAUAGGUGCUUUAAAAUGUAAAUAGUUUAGGGCAAAACAAUCUCAUCCAUCUGGGGCCUUCAACUCUUUAGAACAGGUGUGAGAACCCUAAAGACAGAGGGACCAGAGAGUCUGCUUACUUUACCCACAAUUGUAACAGGUUAGUUAUAUAGUUUUCUAUAGCUGCCAAGGAGGUUGGG
Long non-coding RNA from Phascolarctos cinereus (koala), 962 nucleotides. RefSeq lists it as uncharacterized. NCBI's taxonomy places the organism in Eukaryota, Metazoa, Chordata, Mammalia, Diprotodontia, Phascolarctidae. The record is from RefSeq and is a predicted model, not a curated record.